Molecule: ribosomal RNA, 482 nt
Filed under: uncultured bacterium
Lineage: Bacteria
Description: bacterial SSU rRNA
Rfam family: Bacterial small subunit ribosomal RNA
Source: RNAcentral
GAUGAACGCUGGCGGCGUGCUUAACACAUGCAAGUCGAACGUGAGAGGUAGCAAUAUCUUGAAAGUGGCGCACGGGUGGGUAACACGUAGGUAACCUGCCUCGGAGUGGGGGAUAACAGUUAGAAAUGACUGCUAAUACCGCAUGAAUCCAUUAAGAUGGGAAUGUUGAUGGAGAAAACUCUGGUGCUUCGAGAGGGGCCUGCGGUCGAUUAGCUAGUUGGCGGGUAACGGCCCACCAAGGCGACGAUCGAUAGCUGGUCUGAGAGGACGAUCAGCCACACGGGAACUGAGACACGGUCCCGACUCCUACGGGGGGCAGCAGUGAGGAAUAUUGGGCAAUGGGCGGAAGCCUGACCCAGCAACGCCGCGUUGGAGGAAUGAAGGCCUUCGGGUUGGUAAACUACCUUUUGUCAGGGGAAGAGGAAGGACGGUACCCUGCGAAUAAAGUCACGGCUAACUAACGUGCCAGCAGCCGCGGUAAU